CUUACUAUAAAUUUCAUUGUUGCCGGUAAUGGCAUGUAGAAUAGGACUCUAUCUUUAUUCUCGUCCGAUU
RNAcentral lists this transfer RNA (70 nucleotides) under Bupleurum wenchuanense. RNAcentral describes it as "partial tRNA-Leu". Lineage: Eukaryota; Viridiplantae; Streptophyta; Magnoliopsida; Apiales; Apiaceae. The record is from RNAcentral.